GAACUCGUCCAUAGCCAUUUCACUGCAUCGCUAGGAACUAGGCAGAACCGACCACACACUAUCGACUGGAGCUACAUCGACAUGCCUAGGGUUCAAGGUGGUGGCCUAGACAAUCCAUUCACCGAGCAGGAAGUGUGGCAGGCAAUCAAGCAAUCGCCGGUGGAGAAAUCACCAGGACCGGAUGGUUUCUCAGGUGUCUUCUUCAGAAGCUGCUGGCCAACCAUAAAAAGAGAUGUCAUGGAGGUGUUUCAUCAGUUCUAUCAUCUAGCCGGGGAUAAUUUCCACAUGCUAAACUCAGCUGCUAUAGUUCUUCUUCCUAAGAAAGAUGGCGCCGCUGCAAUCAACGACUACAGGCCGAUUAGUCUAGUGCACUCGGUUGCAAAAUUGAUCUCCAAAGUGCUCUCACUCCGCCUUGCGACGGUGAUCCAAAGUUUGGUCUCCCCGGCACAGACAACAUUCCUCAGGACAAAGUGCAUACAUGAUAGCUACCUAUAUGUGCAAAACGGUGUCAAGUCACUUCAUGCAAAGAAAACUCCGGCUCUACUACUCAAAUUAGACAUCUCC
Molecule: ribosomal RNA, 564 nt
Filed under: Triticum aestivum (bread wheat)
Lineage: Eukaryota; Viridiplantae; Streptophyta; Magnoliopsida; Poales; Poaceae
Description: partial small subunit ribosomal RNA
Source: RNAcentral